Molecule: ribosomal RNA, 60 nt
Filed under: Leptestheria dahalacensis
Lineage: Eukaryota; Metazoa; Arthropoda; Branchiopoda; Diplostraca; Leptestheriidae
Source: RNAcentral
CUACGUCGGGCCCGGUUAGUACUUGGAUGGGUGACCGCCUGGGGACACCGGGUGCUGUUG